GUUGCCUUUUAUUAUCGAUAUAUUAUCCCAAGAAAAAUGAAACGUUUUGCAUAAUUUUUUCAAGUAUUUCUCCAAUGAUCUUUAUUCGUGACACUGCGCACCACAUUGUGACACGGUUACUACGCAAAGGCCUCUGGUGUAUUUCCUGUGGGUUUUUAUCACUCCAAUAUCGAAUAUUUUGUUUAUUUACACAGUCGGAAAGAUGAAAUUGCUACACACUUGUUUUUACGAAAAUAAG
Non-coding RNA from Cinara cedri, 238 nucleotides. The record is from the annotation of a GenBank genome assembly. Lineage: Eukaryota; Metazoa; Arthropoda; Insecta; Hemiptera; Aphididae.